RNAcentral lists this unclassified non-coding RNA (1653 nucleotides) under Hevea brasiliensis (rubber tree). The record is from RNAcentral. Lineage: Eukaryota; Viridiplantae; Streptophyta; Magnoliopsida; Malpighiales; Euphorbiaceae.
CAAACUCAUUAUACCCUUCAAAAAAUCAACUUCAUCAGAUUUGCAACUUAAAAAGCUAAGUUCUUGGACCAAUCCAGAACCUUCCUGUGCUGGUUGGCUUGGCUGGGCACCAACUGGCCUGCUGGCGCCCCAAUUAUGGCCAAUUCUUCUGGCGCAUAGGACGCCCUUGACCGAACCUCAUUUGCUCCAGCGCUUGCGGGACUCUUCUAGGGUGGCGCUGUCCAAGGAAUGCCCCAACCGAAUCUCGUUUCUUGCCAGUGCUGGAACCGUUGCGGCAGCGCUGAAACCCAGCUGCGUUGCUAGUGCUUGGCCCGCUGCGGCAGCAAUUUGCCCCAAGUGUGCCAGCGCCGUACUAACUCCCCCGGGCCCGUAGCUCUUGCUGGUUGGCCUACUGCAUGUCCAGCAGAAUUGGCCCAUUGGCUUGCCGAUUGGCCAGCUGGCUUUUCUAAGUGGCCUACGGACCUCGGAUCUAUUUUGCGAUGAAAAUUUGGGAAAUUUGGGACGGUCGCAUUUAGUGCGCGACGCUUGGGCUUGCUAUCUCCUUAGCAGUUGGGGUUGGGGAAAGAUCGACAGGCGUACAAGGGAAUGGAAGUAAAAGUAAGUGUCAUGCAAAACACAGUACUAAAAGACUGUCCUUUGUGCUUAGAAUCAUCUUUUCCUUCCACUUUGACCCCUCCAUUUUUGGUGGUGUCUCAGACAAAUGCUGGCCACCAUCACAUGGUUUUCCUCAAGUCAAUAUCCCAUUUUAUUUCCCUUAUCAUUUCCCACAUGUGAUUUAUGUUUAUUUUGUUCUUGCUCUUCUUCCUUCGUCUCUUGUGGUUCUUCUUCCUUCACUGGCUCUGCUACUGGAAUGUCAGCGGGACGGGCUAAAGGUGGGUCGACCCGGCCAUCCAGGCAAGAAGAGCAUUUUCUCUCUACCCAACCCUCAAAAUCAUAUUGCCCAUGCCCCAUGAUCCGACGACCCGAACAGAUGCGACCGAUCAUGCCGGCUAUGACUCCAAGGAUGGUGAUCACUGCUAGAACAGCUAUUACAGGUCCAACCGACCCGUGACCUGUGUGGGCUGUGUAAGCUUGCUGGGUCACUUCCAUGGGUGGUGGUUGUUGCUGCUGGUCUAGUGGUGUAGACAUUGGAAAAUGGUAUAUGACAAACGAAACAAUUGAUGAUUUUGGAGGGCUUUGGAAUGAACAAAGAUUGGUGGAAAUGGAAAGCAGAAGUGGGUUUCUUGAAUAGAUGUGGUGUCAAUGAAGUUUGGAUCCUGAAAUGCAAGAAUUUUCAGGAUUUUGAGGGUUUAGGGGAGAGAAAAAUGAAGAGUAAUCAAGUUAAAAAAGAAGAAAAAGUACUUGGUGUUGAUAAGCUUUUAAGGGCUUUGUUUUUAUUUUAUUGAUAUUUCUUUUCCUCUCAACACUUUGGAAGGUAAGGAGCAGAGGCAGAGGAUGUAAUUGAUCAUUUCUAAGUGGUGAAAAGGUGGGAAGAAAGCAAAGUUUGGGAAAGUUUAGAGAGGAAAGAGGAAUGUUUUGAGUGGGCAACAAAACCCAAGAAAAACCCUUUUCAGAUUGAGGAGGAGCUUUCUCUAUACAUUUUCUAGGACUGCAAGCAUUUAUGAAAAUUUAAUUUGACAAGGUUUUGAUAUAUAAAAAGCCAAAAGGGAAUUG